AAUAGAUACCCGGUAGUCCACGCCGUAAACAAUGAGUGCUAAGUGUUAGGGGGUUUCCGCCCCUUAGUGCUGCAGCUAACGCAUUAAGCACUCCGCCUGGGGAGUACGGUCGCAAGACUGAAACUCAAAGGAAUUGACGGGGGCCCGCACAAGCGGUGGAGCAUGUGGUUUAAUUCGAAGCAACGCGAAGAACCUUACCAGGUCUUGACAUCCCGCUGACCGCUAUGGAGACAUAGCUUUCCCUUCGGGGACAGCGGUGACAGGUGGUGCAUGGUUGUCGUCAGCUCGUGUCGUGAGAUGUUGGGUUAAGUCCCGCAACGAGCGCAACCCUUGUCCUUAGUUGCCAUCAUUCAGUUGGGCACUCUAAGGAGACUGCCGGCUAAAAGUCGGAGGAAGGUGGGGAUGACGUCAAAUCAUCAUGCCCCUUAUGACCUGGGCUACACACGUGCUACAAUGGACGGUACAAACGGUUGCGAAGUCGCGAGAUGGAGCUAAUCCGAGAAAACCGUUCUCAGUUCGGAUUGCAGG
Molecule: ribosomal RNA, 528 nt
Filed under: uncultured bacterium
Lineage: Bacteria
Description: bacterial SSU rRNA
Rfam family: Bacterial small subunit ribosomal RNA
Source: RNAcentral